RNAcentral lists this ribosomal RNA (241 nucleotides) under uncultured bacterium. Its description in RNAcentral is "partial 16S ribosomal RNA". It matches the Rfam family "Bacterial small subunit ribosomal RNA", at positions 113 to 354 of the family's 1533-position model. The record is from RNAcentral.
CGACGUGAGGAACCUGCCUUCCAGAGGGGGACAACAGUUGGAAACGACUGCUAAUACCGCAUGACGCAUUGGUGUCGCAUGGCACUGAUGUCAAAGAUUUAUCGCUGGAAGAUGGCCUCGCGUCUGAUUAGCUAGUUGGUGAGGUAACGGCCCACCAAGGCGACGAUCAGUAGCCGGACUGAGAGGUUGGCCGGCCACAUUGGGACUGAGAUACGGCCCAGACUCCUACGGAAGGCAGCAG